AGUCGAACGGUCCUUUCGGGGAUAGUGGCGGACGGGUGAGUAACGCGUGAGAAUCUGCCCUUUGGUUGGGGAUAACGUUUGGAAACGAACGCUAAUACCCGAUGAGCCGAGAGGUAAAAGCUUUAGUGCCAAGGGAUGAGCUCGCGUCAGAUUAGGUAGUUGGUUAGGUAAAGGCUGACCAAGCCUGUGAUCUGUAGCUGGUCUGAGAGGAUGAUCAGCCACACUGGGACUGAGACACGGCCCAGACUCCUACGGGAGGCAGCAGUGGGGAAUUUUCCGCAAUGGGCGAAAGCCUGACGGAGCAAGACCGCGUGGGGGAGGAAGGUUUGUGGACUGUAAACCCCUUUUAUCAGAGAAGAAGAGCUGACGGUAUCUGAUGAAUCAGCCUCGGCUAACUCCGUGCCAGCAGCCGCGGUAAUACGGAGGAGGCAAGCGUUAUCCGGAAUUAUUGGGCGUAAAGCGUCCGUAGGUGGGUGGAGAAGUCUGCUGUCAAAGCGUGAGGCUUAACCUCAUAAGGGCAGUGGAAACUCUUCGUCUAGAGUGCGACAGGGGCAAGGGGAAUUCCUAGUGUAGCGGUGAAAUGCGUAGAGAUUAGGAAGAACACCGGUGGCGAAAGCGCCUUGCUGGGUCUGCACUGACACUGAGGGACGAAAGCUAGGGGAGCGAAAGGGAUUAGAUACCCCUGUAGUCCUAGCUGCAAACGAUGGGUACUAGGCGUUGUC
Molecule: ribosomal RNA, 722 nt
Filed under: uncultured cyanobacterium
Lineage: Bacteria; Bacillati; Cyanobacteriota
Description: bacterial SSU rRNA
Rfam family: Bacterial small subunit ribosomal RNA
Source: RNAcentral